This 462-nucleotide unclassified non-coding RNA is filed under the name uncultured Bordetella sp. RNAcentral describes it as "partial 16S-23S ribosomal RNA intergenic spacer". It matches the Rfam family "Bacterial small subunit ribosomal RNA", at positions 340 to 794 of the family's 1533-position model. Lineage: Bacteria; Pseudomonadati; Pseudomonadota; Betaproteobacteria; Burkholderiales; Alcaligenaceae. The record is from RNAcentral.
UACAGGGGGGCAGCAGUGGGGGAAUUUUGGACAAUGGGGGAAACCCUGAUCCAACCAUCCCGCGUGUGCGAUGAGGGCCUUCCGGGUUGUAAAGCACUUUGGCAGGAAAGAAACGGCACGGGAUAUGCGAUCACAGCUGACGUACCUGCAGAAUAAACAAGCUAACUACGUGCCAGCAGCCGCGGUAAUACGUAGGGCGCAAGCGUUAAUCGGAAUUACUGGGCGUAAAGCGUGCGCAGGCGGUUCGGAAAGAAGAAUGUGAAAUCCCAGAGCUUAACUUUGGAACUGCAUUUUUAACUAUUGAGCUAGAGUGUGUCAGAAGGAGGAAUUCAAUUCCCGCGUGUAGCAGUGAAAUGCGUAGAUAUGCGGAGGAACACAAGUGGCGAAGGCAGCCUCCUGGGGUAACACUGACGCUCAUGCACGAAAGCGUGGGAGCAGAACAGGAUUAGAUACCCUUGUAGU